RNAcentral lists this ribosomal RNA (474 nucleotides) under Chrysoperla lucasina. Its description in RNAcentral is "partial 16S large subunit ribosomal RNA". It matches the Rfam family "Bacterial large subunit ribosomal RNA", at positions 1844 to 2576 of the family's 2925-position model. The record is from RNAcentral. Lineage: Eukaryota; Metazoa; Arthropoda; Insecta; Neuroptera; Chrysopidae. RNAcentral also lists the same sequence under 3 other names.
UAUAAAGUCUAACCUGCCCACUGAUAAUUAUUAAAGGGCCGCGGUAUUUUGACUGUGCAAAGGUAGCAUAAUCAUUUGUCUCUUAAUUGGAGGCUGGAAUGAAUGGUUGAAUGAAAUAUUAACUGUCUCAUUUUUAAAAUUUUAAAAACUUAGCUUUUAAGUCAAAAGGCUUAAAUGAAUUUAGAGGACGAGAAGACCCUAUAGAUCUUUAUAAUUUAUUUAAUUUUAUAAAAUAGAAAAAUAAUUAAUAAAAUUAAUAUAAUUAUUUUAUUGGGGUGAUAGGAAAAUUUAAUAAACUUUUUUUAUUUAUUAACAUUGAUUUAUGAUUAAUUGAUCCAUUUUUAGUGAUUAUAAGAUUAAGUUACCUUAGGGAUAACAGCGUAAUUUUUUUAGAGAGUUCUUAUCGAUAAAAAAGAUUGCGACCUCGAUGUUGAAUUAAAGGUUAUUUCUAGAUGUAGCAGUUUAGAGUUUAGG